UGUGGGUGGAAACAGAUUGCAGAGCCUGUUAUGAAACUUUACACAGAAACAACUGAUGGAUCAGUAAUUGAAAUCAACGAGACUGCGAUGGUAUGGUGUUAUGAAGAUGCAGAUCCAGAUUUUGGAUCCUGUCAAGCAAAAGAACUUCUUGAUCAUCUUGAAAGUGUCCUUGCCAAUGAGCCUGUUACGGUCAAGAGUGGUCAGAACAUUGUUGAAGUUAAGCCACAGGUACAUAUAGUUUCGUCUGUUGUUUCUACUGGAUAGCUCUUAUUUCUUCAAUGAAAAUGAUUCUAUUGUGCAACUCUUAUGUCUUCAAUGCAAAUUUAUAUUUACUGGUCUAUGUUAAAUGGCUUUGUAGCAUUACCAGUUGUUAAUGUUGUUGGUUGAAUUCAUUUGGAAAUCGAGAAGAACAAACAUUUUUGAGCCUAAUUUCCUAAGGUUUUAUACAGAUUAGCAACUGCAAAUCAAUUACCUCUUCAUGAUUCAUGAGAUAGAAAGAACAACUAUGCUUUUAUAUUUAUUUCCUGCACUUUUCAACUAAAAUUAUGUCUCCAUCUUCUUCCUGGAUUAGAGUCAUUUCUGUGAUCGCAUCUUAACCUCAAAGAACUUAACAGAUCCAAGCUUGCAAGUAUUGCCAUUUUCACCUGGGACAGGCAAAAAGUAGGUUCUCUUUUUCGAGACAUAUAAGUGCGACAUGCCAUUGCAUUAUCAUGUUUUCUAUGGGUAUUGAGUUAUCAUUUUUUUGCUAGUGGACAUGCGGUUUUUCUUUCCUUCUAAGGACAAGGAAAAGAAACUGAACAUUUGUCGUCAACCAACAGAACAAUAGUCCAAGGACUGUCAUCCUAUGUUAAGCUUUGCUGGAUAUUCUUUCCAAAUUACUCGUUGGCAAAAAAUUCUGCGCGUUCUGAUUUUUGAGGAGAUUAAACAUUGUCGAGCUUUCUUGUUUAAUGGAGUUUGCUGCAUGCUUGUUUGCAGGGUGUGAGCAAGGGUCUUGUAGCCAAACGCCUACUCUCCUCCAUGCAAGAGAGAGGAAUUUCUCCAGAUUUCGUUCUGUGUAUUGGAGACGACAGAUCUGAUGAAGACAUGUUUGAAGUCAUCACGAACUCUGUGGCAGGAACAUCUAUAGCUCCAACUGCAGAAGUCUUUGCAUGUACUGUUGGUCGAAAACCCAGCAAGGCAAAAUAUUAUCUUGAUGAUACGGCUGAAAUUGUAAGAUUGAUGCAGGGCUUGGCCUCAGUUGCAGAGCAGAUGGUGCCGCUUUAGAACCCUACGGGCUUUAAAGGGCAACACAUGAUGCAAUCUGUCAUGGAGGCUCAAUUGCUCAAUCGUGCUUGUUUCGUUUGUAGGAGUACUUUUUAUGUUUUCCACUAGCACCUGUAAAUUAAGAAUAGACUAAGAGAAGCUGCACAACGGUGCUUUUUUGUUUUUCCCUUGUUCUUAGUUUUUUCCUCAGCUAGUGCUUGAUCAUCAUCUGAGAAAGUUGUACAUAUGAAAUGGAAAACGUGCACUGAUUUAUUUUGUUUGUUUUUAGACUUUCAUUGAGGAGUGCUACUUUUCUUGUUUCCAGCGGUGGUCAUAUUUGCCUUUGUGCUAUUUGCUCAAAAUGAGGAUCAAUGACAGCUAUUGGAGCUAAAUGCAAUGUCUCAAACAACAAUGGAAGAAACAAAAUUUUCUUUCUGGUGCUUUUUCAUUGCCUUGAGAGCUUUCUUUACCCUUUCAUUUGUGUACCUCUUGUAGUAGAUAUGAUCUCUUGCGUAUUGAUAUGGUUUCUGGGAGGCUGCAGAUGAAAUCUCUCAGAUGGGGUAAACAUUAGACAAUAUUGGAUAGAGGUUGAAGACGGGCGAAAUCUAUGCUACUUGAUGACAUAUUUUAAACCGAGCAUGUUUAGAAUUUUAAUAAUUUUAGAAAUUGAUUUGUUAUUUGGUAACUAUAUUAGAUUUGGUGUUACACUUGGUUUAGGAAAUAGAGUUGAGUCAUGUUUUGGUAUUAUAAUUGUUGGGCUUUGAGAGAGCCAAACUCGGGGAGAAUUUAACCAUGAGUUAGAAUGGAAACCACAACCAUGGGUUUGACACCACAUUCAACCCAAAACCUUAAGGCAUUGGAUCUAUGGAUCAUUCUCACUUAUAUGUUCCUUAUUCUACUCAUCUCUUUUCGAUGUGGGACAUUGAUUCACACUUGAUAUCCCAACAAUCUCCCCCUCAAUUGUGAAUCUCUUCCACAUCGGACUUCUCUCCCUAACCCAUCCACUCCAUCAAACCCACUUCAAUUUGGAGUGUACGAUUCUUACUCAAGAGCCCACAUGCCCUUGCCUCACUGCAGGUCUGCAUGAUUUUUUUUUCCCCGCUCUUAUCCAAGCCACGCCUUACCACUCCCACUGGCUUUUUACUCUGGAGUCACUACCCAGCCGAACCAUCGGCUCUGAUACCACUUGUUGGGCUUUGAGAGUGCCAAAUUCGGGGAGAAUUUAACCAUGAGUUAGAAUGGGAACCACAACCAUGGAUUUGACACCACAUUCAACCCAAAACCUUAAGCCAUUGGAUCUAUGGAUCAUUCCCACUUAUAUGCUCCUCAUACUACUCAUCUCUUUCCGAUGUGGGACAUUGAUUCACACUUGAUAUCCCAACAAUAAUUAGAAUAGGAUUUGUGGUUAUGUUUCUCUAUUUAAGGACCUGGAGUUCUAAGUUUGUAGUUGCGGAAAAUUAGUAGAUUGAAGUAGAAUAUUUUGUUUCCUCCCGACGCCCGUCCCUUUCUUAUUGUUUAUUAUUUAUAAGAUUUUAAUGUUAUUUCUUUGUAAGAUUUUAAUGUUACUUCUGUUGUGUGAUUUUUUGUACUAAUACUGCUUCGUUUGAAAAUCCAUGUAGGGAUUUCUUCUAUACUGUUUGAUUUGUUCUUUUGGUCUUUGCUACUUUUUAUUUAUGGUAUAACACCAUUUUGCAUUAUAAAUCAUAAAAAGUUCGUGUAUUUUUUCUAUUGGUAAUAAAAGUUUGUUUAUCGUGGAAUGCAAGAAAUCUUGCCAUUUGCUGCCUCUGUUAAAAGUAGUAAAUUGUAUCCUAUAUAUGACAAGAAUCAUACUUAUAUAUAUUCCAAAUAUGACACUUACAAACAAAACAAAUUUAUAAUUUAAAAGAGGAAGACAUUUUUUGUGGCAUUUCUGCAACUGAAAGAGGAAUGCACAAACCAAUUAAGUGAAAAACCCCAGCAUAAUUAAAGAAGCACUUCUAGCUCCAAACCUAACUAGACCAAGAAGUGGUGGGAAGAAUAAUAGUCACUUCAGCUUUUGUCACCACUCUAAGUACAAGUAAGUUGGUCCAUUAAUUGUUGUGCCCACUAAAAUUAGGCAUGCAGGAAUAUAUACCUUCUCAAUCUUGAACUUGAGAAUGUGAGCUCUAACCUCAAGUGAAACAAAAUCCCAUAUAGUGUAAUUUUUUUUGGUUUCUUUUUAAAAAAAAAAUCCAAUUGAAAAACCCAAAUUCAUUAUUAGUUACAUCAAAAAAAAAAAAUUUUAAAAUUAUUCUUCAACACUAAGGGUAAUGAUUGGUUCCGGAGUGCACAAUUAAGUUGCUCAGUGAUAGGUCAAGGUGUACCAUUGGGCACUUUUUAAUUCUUUUCCUUUUAAUUGACUAUUUGCAUCUGAGACUCUAACCUCCAAUAUCUUUAUCCCAUAGGCUCUUUACAAAUUACAAAAAAAAAAAAAAAAAAAAUUAUUUGAAUAAGGCACCACUAAUUUAUAUUAUCCAUCCAUUAAGUAUCUUUUAAUUUGACCUCAUUAGCCUAGCCUUUCAUCAUUUGAAAGCUUAUCUAUUGCUUUCUCUAGAAGAACAAUGGAGAAAGGAAAAGGUUAUGGUAUUAUACUGAGACUGUGAAAAGUAACGAAAAAUUAUGUAAAUAUCAAAUUAUGUAUUUUUUAAAACGAGAUUGAUAUGAUAUUUCAAUGAAUGAAUUACUCCCUCAAAGUAAUUUUUAUCAAAUUUUCACUUCGAACUCUAGAAAUUUGACUGUUAUGCAAAUUUACACCUUAUUUUUGAACACUUGCUCAAGGUUUAAAACAAUCAUCCCAUGGACAAACAAGAUUCUAAGAUUUGGAAUACAAAAGUAGUAUAACAUAAAAGGGCUAAAUUUUGCAAAAAUGUAUGAUUCAUUUUUUUUUUUUACAAAAAAAAAAAUAUGAUUCAUUAGCUGGAAGAAAGUUGAAGAUUAUUAAAUAUCAACAAACUAUGUACACCAGUUACAGUGGACACUGGAUAGUGGGGCAGUGUAUAUAACAAGCUUUAAGGGAACUCCACCCAUAAUAAAGAUAACAAAAAGAAUAGUUUGUUAGCUGUCUUCUGCCCUUUUCAUUUCAUUUUUCUACUUAAGGGCCUUCACCUUUUGGGAUUCAAGUGUCAAAAACUGGUAAAAUUUCUUGAAACUACUCUUGAAUUCUCAUUAAUGCUGUGUCCUUUGCCAGUUUCUUGGUUUCAAAUCUUUAUCUAGCUCUUGCUGAUUGGUUACUGGCUGGUCUGGUAAUUAUCAGUCAUAUUCUUGAAACAGCUGCUUGUUUUUUUUUUUCGUUAUAUUCUUAGCUCUGUUUUGAUCUGAAUCUAUUCUGUUGCUUUCCACUUAUAUUUGUUUGAUGAGGGACUUUUGUUUAGGUAGGAAAUAUUACUUUCAUAGCUUGAUUUACAUGUUAAAGAUCACUUUUUUAAAUAGUUUCUUGCACGCUUCUGAGCUGUAAUCUUUAUUUGUUGCUUGGUUUAAGAAGAGUAAAGUGGGAAGUUUGGUUUCUUGAUUUUUGGGAGGAAUUGGUUGAGCUAGGAAGCUUUUAAGUUAAGGGGGUACUUUUCUCUAUGUUUAGGUGGUUUUUGGAUAGACAAAUAAGGUUUUGGUUUGUUAAUUGGUUUAGUUAGAUAGUGAAAAGUGAAGGGUUAAAACAGAAAAUGGUCUCAAGGUCAUACUCAAACCUCUUGGAGCUCGCCUCCGGAGAGGCUCCGGCACCGUCUUUAGGAAGUAUUAGCCGGAGGAUUCCACGAAUUAUGACGGUAGCCGGUAUCAUGUCUGAUCUGGAUGAUGAUGCUUCAGACAGUGUGUGUUCUGACCCAUCAUCAUCAGCUCAAAAGGAUAGGAUAAUUAUUGUGGCCAACCAGCUUCCCAUAAGAGCUCAGAGAAAAAGUGAUAGUAGUAAGGGAUGGACUUUCAAUUGGGAUGAUAAUUCACUUCUUCUCCAGUUGAAGGAUGGUUUGGGUGAUGAUGACCUUGAGGUCAUAUAUGUGGGGUGUCUCAAGGAGGAUAUUCAUCCAAAUGAGCAAGAUGAGGUCUCGCAGAUACUCCUUGAGACAUUUAAGUGUGUUCCGACUUUUAUCCCACCCGAUCUGUUUAGCAGGUACUAUCAUGGGUUCUGUAAACAGCAGCUGUGGCCGUUGUUCCACUAUAUGCUGCCCUUGUCACCAGAUCUUGGUGGCAGGUUUAAUCGCUCAUUAUGGCAGGCUUAUGUUUCAGUUAAUAAGAUUUUUGCUGAUAGGAUAAUGGAAGUGAUUAAUCCUGAAGAUGAUUUUGUAUGGGUCCAUGAUUAUCAUUUGAUGAUUCUGCCCACCUUCCUGAGGAAGAGGUUCAAUAGGGUGAAGCUCGGGUUUUUUCUACAUAGUCCAUUUCCUUCAUCAGAGAUAUACAAGACCUUGCCCAUAAGGGAAGAAAUUUUGCGAGCUCUACUGAACUCAGAUUUGAUUGGGUUCCAUACUUUUGACUAUGCAAGGCAUUUCCUCUCCUGUUGCAGUCGAAUGCUAGGCCUAUCUUAUGAAUCUAAAAGGGGUUACAUAGGCCUUGAAUAUUACGGGCGGACUGUGAGUAUCAAGAUUCUUCCAGUUGGUAUUCAUAUGGCGCAGCUUCAGUCAGUCUUGAGUUUAAGAGAGACGGAGGUAAAAGUUGCUGAGCUUAUUAAGCAGUUUCAAGAUAAGGGGAGGACAAUGUUGCUUGGGGUUGAUGACAUGGACAUAUUUAAAGGCAUCAGUUUGAAGUUAUUGGCGAUGGAACAACUGUUGCAGCAACAUCCAGAGAAGCAAGGGAAGGUUGUUUUGGUGCAGAUAGCCAAUCCAGCAAGGGGGAAAGGGAAAGAUGUGAAGGAAGUUCAGGAAGAAACUUACUCAACUGUUAAGAGAAUUAAUGAGGCAUUUGGGCAGCCAGGAUAUGAACCAGUUAUCUUGAUCGACCAGCCACUGAAGUUCUAUGAAAGGGUUGCUUAUUAUGUAGUUGCUGAGUGUUGUUUGGUCACAGCAGUUAGGGAUGGAAUGAAUCUCAUUCCGUAUGAAUACAUAAUUAGCCGACAAGGAAAUGAAAAACUAGAUGAAGUUUUAGGAUUGAAACCUUCCAGUCCAAAAAAGAGCAUGUUAGUUGUCUCAGAGUUCAUAGGGUGCUCGCCAUCCCUGAGUGGAGCAAUCAGAGUUAACCCUUGGAACAUUGAUGCAGUUGCUGAAGCUAUGGACUCUGCUCUUGUUAUGGCUGAACCAGAAAAACGGCUGAGGCAUGAGAAACACUACAAGUAUGUAAGCACACAUGAUGUAGGCUAUUGGGCUCGUAGUUUUCUGCAGGAUUUGGGUAGAACAUGUAAGGAUCAUGUAAGGCGGAGAUGCUGGGGUAUUGGAUUUGGCUUAAGUUUUAGGGUGGUGGCGCUGGAUCCAAAUUUCAGGAAGUUGUUAAUGGAGCAUAUAGUUUCAGCUUACAAAAGGACAACAAUUCGGGCCAUCCUUCUGGAUUAUGAUGGCACUUUGAUGCCUCAGAAUUCAAUUGAUAAGAAGCCUAGCUCUAAAACGAUUGAAAUCCUGAAUACGUUGUGCAGAGAUAAGAACAACACGGUUUUCAUUGUCAGUGCUAGAAGUCGAAACAAGCUAGAAGAAUGGUUUUCAUCUUGUCAAAAGCUUGGACUUGCAGCAGAACAUGGCCAUUUCCUGAGGUAUGUAUUGAUGAUUGUUUUAAGUACAAUUCCACUUCACAUUGACAUUGGUCAGAUAAAUAAUUUAUUUGUUGAACCUUGUGAUUUGUUUUUCCAUUUUAAGGAUUAGGAGAGAUGAGGAGUGGGAAACUUGCGUACCAACAGUGGAAUGUGGGUGGAAACAGAUUGCAGAGCCUGUUAUGAAACUUUACACAGAAACAACUGAUGGAUCAGUAAUUGAAAUCAACGAGACUGCGAUGGUAUGGUGUUAUGAAGAUGCAGAUCCAGAUUUUGGAUCCUGUCAAGCAAAAGAACUUCUUGAUCAUCUUGAAAGUGUCCUUGCCAAUGAGCCUGUUACGGUCAAGAGUGGUCAGAACAUUGUUGAAGUUAAGCCACAGGUACAUAUAGUUUCGUCUGUUGUUUCUACUGGAUAGCUCUUAUUUCUUCAAUGAAAAUGAUUCUAUUGUGCAACUCUUAUGUCUUCAAUGCAAAUUUAUAUUUACUGGUCUAUGUUAAAUGGCUUUGUAGCAUUACCAGUUGUUAAUGUUGUUGGUUGAAUUCAUUUGGAAAUCGAGAAGAACAAACAUUUUUGAGCCUAAUUUCCUAAGGUUUUAUACAGAUUAGCAACUGCAAAUCAAUUACCUCUCCAUGAUUCAUGAGAUAGAAAGAACAACUAUGCUUUUAUAUUUAUUUCCUGCACUUUUCAACUAAAAUUAUGUCUCCAUCUUCUUCCUGGAUUAGAGUCAUUUCUGUGAUCGCAUCUUAACCUCAAAGAACUUAACAGAUCCAAGCUUGCAAGUAUUGCCAUUUUCACCUGGGACAGGCAAAAAGUAGGUUCUCUUUUUCGAGACAUAUAAGUGCGACAUGCCAUUGCAUUAUCAUGUUUUCUAUGGGUAUUGAGUUAUCAUUUUUUUGCUAGUGGACAUGCGGUUUUUCUUUCCUUCUAAGGACAAGGAAAAGAAACUGAACAUUUGUCGUCAACCAACAGAACAAUAGUCCAAGGACUGUCAUCCUAUGUUAAGCUUUGCUGGAUAUUCUUUCCAAAUUACUCGUUGGCAAAAAAUUCUGCGCGUUCUGAUUUUUGAGGAGAUUAAACAUUGUCGAGCUUUCUUGUUUAAUGGAGUUUGCUGCAUGCUUGUUUGCAGGGUGUGAGCAAGGGUCUUGUAGCCAAACGCCUACUCUCCUCCAUGCAAGAGAGAGGAAUUUCUCCAGAUUUCGUUCUGUGUAUUGGAGACGACAGAUCUGAUGAAGACAUGUUUGAAGUCAUCACGAACUCUGUGGCAGGAACAUCUAUAGCUCCAACUGCAGAAGUCUUUGCAUGUACUGUUGGUCGAAAACCCAGCAAGGCAAAAUAUUAUCUUGAUGAUACGGCUGAAAUUGUAAGAUUGAUGCAGGGCUUGGCCUCAGUUGCAGAGCAGAUGGUGCCGCUUUAGAACCCUACGGGCUUUAAAGGGCAACACAUGAUGCAAUCUGUCAUGGAGGCUCAAUUGCUCAAUCGUGCUUGUUUCGUUUGUAGGAGUACUUUUUAUGUUUUCCACUAGCACCUGUAAAUUAAGAAUAGACUAAGAGAAGCUGCACAACGGUGCUUUUUUGUUUUUCCCUUGUUCUUAGUUUUUUCCUCAGCUAGUGCUUGAUCAUCAUCUGAGAAAGUUGUACAUAUGAAAUGGAAAACGUGCACUGAUUUAUUUUGUUUGUUUUUAGACUUUCAUUGAGGAGUGCUACUUUUCUUGUUUCCAGCGGUGGUCAUAUUUGCCUUUGUGCUAUUUGCUCAAAAUGAGG
Molecule: long non-coding RNA, 8680 nt
Filed under: Coffea arabica (coffee)
Lineage: Eukaryota; Viridiplantae; Streptophyta; Magnoliopsida; Gentianales; Rubiaceae
Description: long non-coding RNA (CARA_LNC007903)
Source: RNAcentral